Molecule: long non-coding RNA, 1575 nt
Filed under: Setaria italica (foxtail millet)
Lineage: Eukaryota; Viridiplantae; Streptophyta; Magnoliopsida; Poales; Poaceae
Description: long non-coding RNA (SITA_LNC001438)
Source: RNAcentral
CUGUAGUACUUUCCAGUUCUUGUCCUGUUAUAUGGAAAGCUGCAUCACCAAUCCUACAGUCUACAGAGGUUUUCUAUUGUUGUCUGCCCUGCCUGCCAGCCUGUGUAAGUAUGUAUCAAGAAUCUUGCUUUCUAAACACUCUGAUUGGCCCUUGUGAUGUGAGCAACUCACAGUGGUCUAUGCCUUUGCAUUUUAUAUUCACAUGCUCACGCAAGCUUAGUCAGCAUGAUUUGAUGGCACACUUGCCAGAUGCAAAUUUCAUAUGCAUCCUUAUAUCAGUUUCUUUGUGCUGUUUUUUAUCGACAUUAAUUUGACACUCAUGUUACUGGAAAGGUAACGAACCUGGUAUAUUAUUGCCAUGUUACUGCAUUAGGUUAUUUCCGAGUGAAAUCAAAAGUAGAUUCAACAUAUCUGAAAGACUCUAUCUGAAAUUAUAAUUGAACUAAGUGCACAUGUAUCCUAAGUGGUUCAUAUGUCCAAAUUUAGCAUUGUAAGCAUCUAGAAUGAUCUAGAUCCACAUUUGAGAUAUUUGUGUUACCUGUGGGUUCAGUGAAUUUGAUAUGCUAGCUGGUGCAUUUUUCUUGAUAAUCCACUAUGUUAUUUACUAGAUAUUCCUUUACCAAGGUUUCUCGUGGCACAACGGCAGAGCGAUGAACUCUGGGGACCAAUCAAACCCCUGUAACCAGUCCGGCUUCGAAGCUGAGGUACUCUUCUUUAAGACGAAAUCGAAGGUAUGUCUAUCCCUCCGGUCAAGUUUUUACUGGCAAUUCCUUUCAUGAUUAAGUCUGUUUCCUUACUGUCCUUUCAAGAAAAGCUGUUCUAUUGGAACAACUAAACAAAAUAUAUUUUAAAUGUUUGAUAAUUUUGCUUCCUUUCAGACAGCAUCUUCAUGUUUAUGUAUCAAAUUUCUAUUGGAAGUUAAAUCAAGGACACAAGUUCACAUAUUUAUUUGUUUCUAAUUCAAUAUAAUUAAGUUCAAUAGGCAUCUGAAUGAAUUGAUUUUAUUACUUGGUUUGUGAUUGAAUCAAAGCAAUAUUUUCUCUUUUUUUCCUUUUGAUGAAAAUACAGCUUCUGAAAUACUACCAAAGAAGCACUGAAGCGAGCAAGUUUACAGCAGCUGCAACCCCACUCACCACAUCAUUUUCGGUGGAAAGCUUCAUUUGUUUGGAAGAAACCAAUCGUAAGGCUUCUUAUUCCUUGAUAGUUUUGGGCAGUUUCUUAUUUUUUCAUCUAUGGGUGCUGUUGUUGCUGUACUUUUGAUAGCAACUUGUUAGUAUGCCUGAUCCAAAUUUAUCUUAGCCACCUUGACAAAAAGAUGUCAAUAAUAGUUAAUAGGUAGUUAGAAUAUACCCGUAGAUAUUAAAGAGGAAAAAACCCUGAAGAAUAAACCACCUCAAAACAUAUUUUAUUUGGUAUACUAAUAACAAUCAUUGUAGCUAAAAUGUGAAGAUACGAAUGAAUUUAUUCAGUAGACGUGUCAUCUUGCGGCUCUGAUGAGGAGCUUGGCGUUGUGGUGCUCUGUGCUUGCAUGAGGCGCUCGAGUUUGGUACUGAGCUCGGCCUUCUCUUUCUCGAG